Molecule: RNA transcript, 1028 nt
Organism: Nymphaea colorata (pocket water lily)
Lineage: Eukaryota; Viridiplantae; Streptophyta; Magnoliopsida; Nymphaeales; Nymphaeaceae
Gene name: RNA polymerase II transcriptional coactivator KELP
Exons: 4
Source: RefSeq, a predicted model, not a curated record
GUGACGGCUCCUGGAUGAGAAAAGUGCGUGUUUGUUUCCUUAUUUUAUAGUAUAGGUCCUGGGAUUUCCGUUUCUGUGGGGAGGGGAUAUAGGGAUCCUGAGCGAGGGGCAGCUGCAGCUCCUCAAAGAAGGACGGGGACUAGAUUUUUCCUUUUCUUGUACCCUUCUCUGUGUGGGGAGUGGAGGUGUUGCAGGGAGGAAGCUGAAGAGGAACGGGAUGGACGCGGAGACGAAGCGCCGGGUGGAGAAGAUGGUGGUGGGUAUAUUGGAGAAGGCGGACAUGACAGAGAUGACGGAGUUCAAGGUCAGGUCGUUGGCCUCCGAGCGGCUAGGCAUCGAUCUCUCCGGCAGCAGGGAGGUGAAGAAGUUCGUGCGGGGAAUUGUCGAGAACUUCUUGGAAUCCAGGGCAGCGCAGGCGGAGGGAGGUGGUACGGCUGGGGACGAGGAGGAGGUAGAGGAGCAGAGGGGCGACAGGAAGAGAGGUAGAGCGGCUCAUGAUGAUGAUGAGGAAGAGGAGGAGCAGGAGGAUAGCAGUGGUGAUGAGGAUGUCGAUGAAAAUGGAGAUCCCAUCCUCUGCAGGCUCUCAAGCAAAAGAAGAGUAACGCUGCAGGAGUUCAGGGGAAAGACGUUGGUUUCCAUUAGGGAGUACUACCUGAAGGAUGGGAAGGAGCUUCCUUCAUCUAAAGGAAUAAGUUUGACAACUGAACAGUGGGUUGCCUUCAAGAAAGCGGUGCCUGCCAUAGAAAAAGCUAUUAGAGAGAUACAGUCGGGUUAGUGAACGAGUAACAAAAGGCCCAGAAGCUGAGACCAUGGAAAUGAUCUAGACUAUUUUUUUGACUUAGUGAGGUUGUGCAGAGAUGUAAUGAGUUAUGCAACUGGGACGUAGGUGCUGUAUAUGUGCAGUUUCUGCAGAACAGGAGUUUUCUCAUCCCUCUUUGUUUUCUAAGAAAUACUAGGGAACUUGAGGAUAUAUGCUCAGACCUAGGGUAUUCACAAAGAAGACUAAGGGUGACUUUCACUUAGACGGA